CUCCUGGAUGCCAGCCUCACACGGCCCCAGCCUCUCUCCGAGAACCUACAUGCCACACAGCUGCGAUGUCUACAUGCUCACCAUUUCGAAAGGUGUUUAAUUUGCCUGCUCUCCUCUAGCACCCUGGACAGCAUGGUACUUCUGCCAAAAUGAGAGGCCGUACAUAUAUCAGAACACAGAGUUCAGGUGCUCUCCGCCAAGUGUCUCACUCAGGAACCCAUCUCACUGGGAGCUGCUUUAAAGAAGAGAGUGCAGUUAGCGUCACACUACUGAGUAAAUCACCCCAGGGUCAUGAUGUUACACGAUGGACAUUUGGCAUGAAGAGGUCAGCAGGUGAACAAGGAAGAAGGCCAGCAAGCCAGGUGGGAGGAGAAGAGAGACAGAAGGAGGAGGAGGACACCAGGAGACAUUUGUCAAAUGACUUAGAAUCUUCUCAGCUGACUCAACUGAAUGACAUGUGACCAACGGCAAGGCUAAGGAACAAGACCGAGAUAUUUUUGACCUGAAAAAGAAUGUACUUUGAUUCGGAAACUCGACAUAAUGCAUUGUCUCAGGUCUGUGGAACCAUGUUCAUUCUCAAGCAUCUGGAAACAUCUGUGGACUUCCUGGCACAUCCAAGCCCAGUUUCUCACUUAGCCAAAUCAUUUUUCACUGGAAGCAGUCAAGGUUGUGCAAGGAAAAAGAAACAAUGUGAAAACAGCCAAAAGGUCUGAAAGGGGGGAAUCUAAGCCAUGUAUAAUUUCUAAGGAAAGGCAGACGCGGUCAGGGUCAGCCUGCCUUCCACACUCACAAGAACUCCGGUGAACCAGGGAGCCCUAGGUCAUAGAAGAAAUUACUCAUGCUUCAACGGAGGCUGCAUUUUCUCUUUGCUCUCUCUGCAGGCCCUGGUGACAACCAAUCACACAGAACAGAAGAGACUCUCUCCAAACUGAAGCCCUGCCCAAACUACUUACUGGGGCAAGCCUCAACACUCCUGGGCACCAGCGGUGUGUGGGAGAUAGGAGCAUUGUGUGCUCUAAGUGGUGCCAACACCACUAAGUGCAAGAUGAAACCAACACACAGCUGCACCUUUUGGAGGCAUUCUCCAUUUAAAAAAAAAAAUUAAAAAGAAAGAAAAAAAAAAAAGACAUUUUAAAGUUGGUGCCUGGCAGGACUGAGUGGAAAGUUUAAGGAGAAACAUCAAAACGGCAGAGACUCCCCAAGCCAAGGAUUUCAUUCCUAAUGGGAGCAGCUUGGAAAUGUGUAAAAAACUGCUCGUUACCACUCAAAAUGUAACUCGAAAUACACAGGAAAGAAAGGAUAUAUGCAAAUGGGAACUGAUAUUAAAUCAAGAUGUUAAAUUGUCUAUGGACUUGCUGAAUCCAAGCUUUAUUUCUGUCUGAAACAAUUUUCUCUUGUGACUUCAAAAGAAAAAAAAAAUAGUGGCCACAAAUCAAAGCAACUUCAAUUUUUUUCUUAAACAAACUCUAUAAGCUCGUUCAUACUAUCUACCUGUGACAGCUAAUACCUUGGACUUCAAACUUGCUUAGCUCUGUGAGCUGCAAACCACAUCAGAAGCUGGUGUGCUCUUUGAGCAAGAUAGUUAACACUAAAAAAUAAAAACAAAGUAAAAAAAAAAAAAGAAACUGUGGGUUCGUUAAUUUUGGUACACACUGGUUUCAUCAGUAUUGCUAUUAUGAUGAAAAGCACAGAGACAUGGGUUUCCAUCCUUGUGGUACCACUUCCUGACAGUAAUCUUGGACAAGUUAAUUAACUUGGACCUGAGUUUUUUCAUCUGUAAAAUGGGAGUAAUUUUAUGAGUUAGUCAUGAUUAGUGAACAACAUACCCUCAGUGGACACAGUACUCAGGAUGUAGAAAGCACAAUCGUUAUUAACAAGGGAAUUCUUCAAGAAAUCUUUACUAUGAUUAACAGAUUUAAAAGGUUUUGUUUUUACGUGUAUAAAUGUUUGUCUGUCAGUCAAUAUAUGCAACCACUUGUGUGCCUGGUGCCAAAGGAGGCCAGAAGAGGGCGUUGGAUUCCCCUGGAACUGGAUUUACUGAUGGUUAUAAGCUGCCAUGUGAGUGCCAGGAACUGAAUUCAAGUCCUCUGCAAGAGCAGACAAUGUUCUUAACUACUGAGCAAUCUCUCCAGCCUCAUUAAUAGAUUUUUAAAUAUUCAUUCCUGAUGACAAAAUUUAAGACCAGAACUAUCUACAAUAUUAAGACAUUUUUCUUAGUACUUCUUAAAGGAGGGGGGAAUGCCUGAUGGAGUAGAUAUUAACAUUUUGCCUCUUGCUCUAUAAAUACUUGGUACCUUUAGAAGUCAACUCAAAUAUUAUAUUAUUUUUAGUUUAUCAGACUUUCUCCCAGUAAGGACCAUAAUACUAAUCUGUUUGAAUUAUUUGACUUCAGUUCUCUGAAUAUGAAGGAAAAAACUAA
This is a non-coding RNA of Peromyscus maniculatus bairdii (prairie deer mouse), 2419 nucleotides long. The record is from RefSeq and is a predicted model, not a curated record. NCBI's taxonomy places the organism in Eukaryota, Metazoa, Chordata, Mammalia, Rodentia, Cricetidae.